RNAcentral lists this RNase P RNA (380 nucleotides) under Parazoarcus communis. RNAcentral describes it as "Azoarcus communis RNase P RNA component class A". It matches the Rfam family "Bacterial RNase P class A". From Rfam's summary of the family: Ribonuclease P (RNase P) is a ubiquitous endoribonuclease, found in archaea, bacteria and eukarya as well as chloroplasts and mitochondria. Lineage: Bacteria; Pseudomonadati; Pseudomonadota; Betaproteobacteria; Rhodocyclales; Zoogloeaceae. The record is from RNAcentral. RNAcentral also lists the same sequence under 1 other name.
GAAGUUCGCCAGGCAGUCGCUGUGUGCCUUCGGGUGCAUGGAGGAAAGUCCGGGCCCCGCAGAGCAGGAUGCCGGCUAACGGCCGGGCGCCGUGAGGCGACGGAAAGUGCAACAGAGAGUAAACCGCCGAUGGCCUCCGUCAGGGGGAUCAGGUAAGGGUGAAACGGUGGGGUAAGAGCCCACCGCAGGACUGGCGACAGGACUGGCACGGCAAACCCCAUCCGGGGCAAGGCCAAAUAGGGGAGUCAUGGCGUGGCUCGCGUCGCUCCCGGGUAGGCUGCUAGAGCGGCACGGUAACGUGUCGCCCAGAGGAAUGACUGCCCGAUGCAUCGGUUCGCCGGUGCGUUCGACAGAACCCGGCUUAUCGGCGAACUUCCCAA